Molecule: ribosomal RNA, 254 nt
Filed under: uncultured bacterium
Lineage: Bacteria
Description: partial 16S ribosomal RNA
Rfam family: Bacterial small subunit ribosomal RNA
Source: RNAcentral
UACGUAGGUGGCAAGCGUUGUCCGGAUUUAUUGGGUUUAAAGGGUGCGUAGGCGGCUUAAUAAGUCAGUGGUGAAAGCCGAUCGCUUAACGAUCGAACUGCCAUUGAUACUGCUAGGCUUGAGUAUAGUUGAGGUAGGCGGAAUUGACAGUGUAGCGGUGAAAUGCAUAGAUAUUGUCAAGAACACCAAUUGCGAAGGCAGCUUACUAAAGUAUAACUGACGCUGAGGCACGAAAGUGCGGGGAGUCAAACAGG